GAUGAAGAACGCAGUGAAAUGCGAUAAGUAAUGUGAAUUGCAGAAUUCAGUGAACCAUCGAAUCUUUGAACGCACAUUGCGCCCGGCAGUAAUCUGCCGGGCAUGCCUGUCCGAGCGUCAUUUCUCCCCUCGAGCGCAGCUUUCCCCCCCCGGGGGAGGGCCGCGCCCGGUGUUGGGGCGCUACGGAGGAGCCCAGCGCUCCCCCGUAGGCCCCGAAAUGUAGUGGCGGUCCCGCCGCGGCGCCCCCUGCGUAGUAGUUUUACAACUCGCAUCGGGUCCCGGCGGAGGCCAGCCGUCAAACCCCCCAACUUCAAUAGUUUGACCUCGGAUCAGGUAGGGUUACCCGCUGAACUUAAGCAUAUCAAUAAGCGGAGGA
RNAcentral lists this unclassified non-coding RNA (376 nucleotides) under soil metagenome. RNAcentral's name for it is "partial contains 5.8S ribosomal RNA, internal transcribed spacer 2, and large subunit ribosomal RNA". The stretch from base 1 to 120 matches the Rfam family "5.8S ribosomal RNA", at positions 35 to 154 of the family's 154-position model. The record is from RNAcentral.